ACUCUAAAUAUUUAUACUAGUUUUUAACACAAAGUAAAUUUUGCACUCACAUUACUUCCUUCUUUUUGAUUUUCUUUGAACAAAAACAAAACAACACAUAAAACAGUAAAUGAAAAUAUUACGUAGAAACGAUGGAAACAUGGAACGUAGAAGGGAUCCGUAUGUAUAUAUGCAUCGGAUGUAGUACCUCUACUAAAGGGCUCUUACACACGAACAUACUUCUCAAAGUGGAAGCGAAUUUUUUUAAUAGGACAACAUAUUGGGUCUCCAUCUACAUUCCUCAUCCUGAAAUAAUUCGCGGACAAUGGAACAUAAACAACAAACGGCUAAAGGGUAGAGUUGCCCAACAGUAAGGAACGAUGCUGCAGAGAGGCAAGGCAGUGGGACACCGUGGUGGUGAUGACAUCCGAUGGAUCUUGACGGAACGUGUCCCGUGGUCGCAGACAGCGGAGCGACUGGUAGCCUUGUACUCAGAUCCGAAAAUGUAAAAUGAAAACUGCAUGACGUAAGGUUACACUGCUCAGGCAGCAAAUUUGCUUUGUUUAUUUUGAUAUUAAUUGUGAAAAGUGAAUAAAAGUUAAUAAAACACUGAAUAAUCGAGGAGAACGCUGUGAAACGCGUUUUUACGCA
Drosophila guanche is the source of this 630-nucleotide long non-coding RNA. RefSeq lists it as uncharacterized. The record is from RefSeq and is a predicted model, not a curated record. The transcript is spliced from 2 exons. Lineage: Eukaryota; Metazoa; Arthropoda; Insecta; Diptera; Drosophilidae.